Neopelma chrysocephalum (saffron-crested tyrant-manakin) is the source of this 692-nucleotide long non-coding RNA. RefSeq lists it as uncharacterized. The transcript is spliced from 3 exons. The record is from RefSeq and is a predicted model, not a curated record. NCBI's taxonomy places the organism in Eukaryota, Metazoa, Chordata, Aves, Passeriformes, Pipridae.
UGGUGAUGAAAGAUAGCCAGCAGAUGACAGAAACAGGUGGACACUGUCAACAGUAGCUUCUAAAAAUCAGCUAUCAAGCUGUGAUGUUUCAAGAAAAAAAGACAGGAGAUGGGUGGAUAAAAAAGGAAGAUGAGAGGGUUAAAUGGGAGAAAAGGUGUCAAGUGGUCUCUGUGAAGAGUGGCUGGAUCUGCUCCAUGCCAGACACAGCUGGUUCCAGCCAACUCCAUCUGACCCUCUCCAGGGCAUGGCUGGGUCCCAGAGUCACAUAUAAAAAGGAGAGCCUGAAAGUGCCAAAUGGAGACAGGAAGAGAGAACAAAAAGAGAAAUAAAAGAGGCAAGGUCAGAGGAGCAGGAGGAAGGAGAAGGUAUUCCCUGGCACCAGAGCAGGCAUCCACCUCAGCCCGUGCAGAACUCCAUGUCAUAGCAUGUGGCCAUUCCCAGAGGAGCUGCCACCAUGGAGAGCCCACGCUGGGGCAGAGGGAAGAUGUGAGAAGGAGGGAGCUGCAGAGAGAAACUGCUGAGUGCCAACUGCGACCCCCUAAGCUGCCCUGAACUGGAGGUGUGAAUUUGUCCACAAAGGUAACUGAUAAAUGAUGUCCCUGUCCUUAUGUGAACACGGGAACAUUCUUGUUUUUGUUUUUCCUAUUUUCUUCCCCCACCACGCUGAGAGAGGUGAAUAGCUGAGCAGCUGG